UACGGAGGGUGCAAGCGUUGUUCGGAAUCACUGGGCGUAAAGCGCGUGUAGGGGGCCCAUCAAGUCUGAUGUGAAAGCCUGGGGCUCACCCCCGGAAGUGCAUUGGAAACUGUUGGGCUCGAGUCCCGGAGAGGAGGGUGGAAUUCCUGGUGUAGCGGUGAAAUGCGCAGAUAUCAGGAGGAACACCGAUUGCGAAGGCAGCUCGCUGGGACGUUACUGACGCUGAGACGCGAAAGCGUGGGGAGCAAACAGG
This 253-nucleotide ribosomal RNA is filed under the name uncultured bacterium. RNAcentral describes it as "partial 16S ribosomal RNA". It matches the Rfam family "Bacterial small subunit ribosomal RNA", at positions 524 to 776 of the family's 1533-position model. The record is from RNAcentral.